GCCUACGGGGCGCAGCAGUAGGGAAUUUUCGUCAAUGGGCGCAAGCCUGAACGAGCAAUGCCGCGUGAACGAGGAAGGUCUUCGGAUCGUAAAGUUCUGUUGAAGGGGAAACAAAAAAAAAAAAAAAAAUGAACUCCGAUUGAUAUUACCCUUCGAGGAAGCCACGGCUAACUACGUGCCAGCAGCCGCGGUAAUACGUAGGUGGCGAGCGUUAUCCGGAAUGAUUGGGCGUAAAGGGUGCGUAGGCGGCCUGCUAAG
Molecule: ribosomal RNA, 258 nt
Filed under: uncultured bacterium
Lineage: Bacteria
Description: partial 16S ribosomal RNA
Rfam family: Bacterial small subunit ribosomal RNA
Source: RNAcentral